Small nucleolar RNA from Ochotona princeps (American pika), 141 nucleotides. Its record names the gene SNORA70. It matches the Rfam family "Small nucleolar RNA SNORA70". From Rfam's summary of the family: snoRNA U70 seems to be exclusive to mammals and is a member of the H/ACA class of snoRNA which contain H (ANANNA) and ACA box motifs. H/ACA box snoRNAs are involved in the conversion of uridines to pseudouridines (5-ribosyluracil) a constituent of structural RNAs (transfer, ribosomal, small nuclear, and small nucleolar). Lineage: Eukaryota; Metazoa; Chordata; Mammalia; Lagomorpha; Ochotonidae. The record is from Ensembl.
UUGCAGCCAAGUGGGCUGAGGAGGCUCUUUUUUUUCCCUCACAGGGACUCAGCAUGCAAUCGGCUGCAAUCAGUAGCCUCCUUGAUAGUGUAUGCAGCCUGCUACUUGUAUAGGUUGCCUUCAGGGAGCUCGGAGCCCCUU